This 232-nucleotide ribosomal RNA is filed under the name uncultured bacterium. RNAcentral describes it as "partial 16S ribosomal RNA". It matches the Rfam family "Bacterial small subunit ribosomal RNA", at positions 99 to 334 of the family's 1533-position model. The record is from RNAcentral.
CGGACGGGUGAGUAAUGUCUGGGAAACUGCCUGGUGGAGGGGGAUAACUACUGGAAACGGUAGCUAAUACCGCAUAACGUCGCAAGACCAAAGAGGGGGACCUUAGGGCCUCUUGCCAUCGGAUGUGCCCAGAUGGGAUUAGCUAGUAGGUGGGGUAAUGGCUCACCUAGGCGACGAUCCCUAGCUGGUCUGAGAGGAUGACCAGCCACACUGGAACUGAGACACGGUCCAG